This 450-nucleotide long non-coding RNA is filed under the name Physcomitrium patens. RNAcentral's name for it is "long non-coding RNA (PPAT_LNC006107)". Lineage: Eukaryota; Viridiplantae; Streptophyta; Bryopsida; Funariales; Funariaceae. The record is from RNAcentral.
UUUGGAUUUAUUUAGGAUUUAGGACUUGAUUAGGGUUUAGAUUAGGAUUUGAUUUAAGAUUUGGUUAGGAUUUUAUUUAGGAUUUAGGGUUUGAUUUAGGAUUUUGUUUAGGGUUUGGUUUAGAAUUUGGUUAGGAUUUGAUUUAGGAUUUAAUUGGAAUUUGAUUUAAGGUUUGUUUAGGAUUUGAUUUAGGGUUUAGGAUUUUAUUAGGAUUUAAGAUUCAAUUAGUUUUGGCCUAAAGUUUGAAUGAAGUUUAAUAGGAUUUUAACUAGAAUUAAAUUAAGAUUGAAUUGAGAUAUAUUUGGAUAAUAUUUAUGAUCCUUCUAAUAUUUCUUUAAGAAUUCUUAUUAUUUUUUUGAAAUUUCUUUGAGGUUUUUUUUUUAAAAUUUGAUUAAGCUUGCUUAGCAUUAUUAUGGUUUAAUUAGAGCAUUGUUAGUAGUGUAUUAGAAU